Molecule: non-coding RNA, 26 nt
Filed under: Rattus norvegicus (Norway rat)
Lineage: Eukaryota; Metazoa; Chordata; Mammalia; Rodentia; Muridae
Source: RNAcentral
UACAACAAUGAAUGGAGUUUUGUAAU